Molecule: ribosomal RNA, 1244 nt
Filed under: metagenome
Description: bacterial LSU rRNA
Rfam family: Bacterial large subunit ribosomal RNA
Source: RNAcentral
UGAAUACGAGACGCUAAGGCGUCGAAGUAGUGUAUGUCAUACUUCCAAGAAAAGCUUGCACUGUCAUAGAUAAAAAACGCCUGUACCAUAACCGACACAGGUGGGUAGGUAGAGUAUACUAAGGGGCGCGAGAUAACUCUCUCUAAGGAACUCGGCAAAAUAACUCCGUAACUUCGGGAGAAGGAGUGCCUUAUUCUUAAGGUUGCAAUAACAAGAUCCAAGCAACUGUUUAUCAAAAACACAGGUCUCCGCUAAGUCGUAAGACGAUGUAUGGGGGCUGACGCCUGCCCAGUGCCAGAAGGUUAAAGAAGCUGGUUAGCAUUUGCGAAGCUAGUAACUGAAGCCCUGGUGAACGGCGGCCGUAACAAUAACGGUCCUAAGGUAGCGAAAUUCCUUGUCGGGUAAGUUCCGACCCGCACGAAAGGCGUAAUGAUUUGGAUACUGUCUCGGAGAGGGGCUCGGUGAAAUAGACUUGUCUGUGAAGAUGCGGACUACCUGCACCAGGACAGAAAGACCCUAUGAAGCUUUACUGUAACUUGAAAUUGAAAUUGGACUUUAUUCGCGCAGUAUAGGUGGGAGGCGUUGAUUAUAAUCUUGCGGGAUUAUUGGAGCCAUUAGUGAGAUACCACUCUUGUAAUGUUAGAUUUCUAACUUUGAAUCAUUAUCUGGUCAAAGAACAGUUUCAGGCGGGCAGUUUGACUGGGGCGGUCGCCUCCCAAACGGUAACGGAGGCGUACAAAGGUUUCCUCUGAACGGUUAGAAAUCGUAUCUAGAGUGUAAAGGCAUAAGGAAGCUUGACUGUGAGACCUACAAGUCGAGCAGGGACGAAAGUCGGUCUUAGUGAUCUGACGGUACUGAGUGGAAAGGCCGUCACUCAACGGAUAAAAGUUACUCUAGGAUAACAGGCUGAUCUCCCCCAAGAGUUCACAUCGACGGGGAGGUUUGGCACCUCGAUGUCGGCUCAUCGCAUCCUGGGGCGGUAGUACGUCCCAAGGGUUGGGCUGUUCGCCCAUGAAAGCGGUACGCGAGCUGGGUUCAGAACGUCGUGAGACAGUUCGGUCCAUAUCCGGUGUAGGCGUUAGAAUAUUGAGAGGAGCCUUCUUUAGUACGAGAGGACCGAGAAGGACAUACCUCUGGUGUACCAGUUAUCGUGCCAACGGUAGGCGCUGGGUAGCUAUGUAUGGAGUGGAUAACCGCUGAAAGCAUCUAAGUGGGAAGCCCACCUCAAGAUAAGUAUUCUCAUC